GAUGAAGAACGUAGCGAAAUGCGAUAAGUAAUGUGAAUUGCAGAACUCAGUGAAUCAUCGAAUCUUUGAACGCACAUUGCGCCCGGGAGCAUUCUCCCGGGCAUGCCUGUUCGAGCGUCAUUUCAACCCUCGAUUUCCCUUUGGGGAAGUCGGCCGUUGGAGAUCGGCAGCACUGCCGGCUCCCAAAUACAGUGGCGACCCGCCGCGGGGACCCCUGCGUAGUAACUUACACUCGCACCGGAAACCAGACGUGUCACGCCGUAAAACCCCCAACUUUCUGAACGUUGACCUCGGAUCAGGUAGGAAUACCCGCUGAACUUAAGCAUAUCAAUAAGCGGAGGA
This 342-nucleotide unclassified non-coding RNA is filed under the name soil metagenome. Its description in RNAcentral is "partial contains 5.8S ribosomal RNA, internal transcribed spacer 2, and large subunit ribosomal RNA". The stretch from base 1 to 120 matches the Rfam family "5.8S ribosomal RNA", at positions 35 to 154 of the family's 154-position model. The record is from RNAcentral.